GACAAACGCUGGCGGCGUGCCUAACACAUGCAAGUCGAGCGUGAAAGGGGCUUCGGCCCUGAGUAAAGCGGCGAACGGGUGAGUAACACGUGGGCAACCUGCCUCAAGGACUGGGAUAACUCCGGGAAACCGGGGCUAAUACCGGACGAUGUCUACCGGCGCAAGCCGGUCGACCAAAUGGUAGCUUCGGCCUCCGGCCUUGAGAUGGGCCCGCGUCCUAUCAGCUUGUUGGUGAGGUAACGGCUCACCAAGGCUACGACGGGUAGCUGGUCUGAGAGGAUGAUCAGCCACACUGGGACUGAGAUACGGCCCAGACACCUACGGUGGCAG
This 330-nucleotide ribosomal RNA is filed under the name uncultured Actinomycetes bacterium. RNAcentral describes it as "bacterial SSU rRNA". It matches the Rfam family "Bacterial small subunit ribosomal RNA", at positions 28 to 351 of the family's 1533-position model. Lineage: Bacteria; Bacillati; Actinomycetota; Actinomycetes. The record is from RNAcentral.